GACGAACGCUGGCGGCGUGCUUAACACAUGCAAGUCGAACGGAAAGGCCCUGCUUGCAGGGUACUCGAGUGGCGAACGGGUGAGUAACACGUGGGUGAUCUGCCCUGCACUUCGGGAUAAGCUUGGGAAACUGGGUCUAAUACCGGAUAGGAGCCAUCUUUAGUGUGGUGGUUGGAAAGUUUUUUCGGUGUAGGAUGAGCUCGCGGCCUAUCAGCUUGUUGGUGGGGUAAUGGCCUACCAAGGCGGCGACGGGUAGCCGGCCUGAGAGGGUGUACGGCCACAUUGGGACUGUGAUACGGGCCAGACUCCUACGGGAGGCAGCAGUGGGGAAUAUUGCACAAUGGGCGCAAGCCUGAUGCAGCGACGCCGCGUGGGGGAUGAAGGCCUUCGGGUUGUAAACUCCUUUCGCUAGGGACGAAGCUUUGUUGUGACGGUACCUAGAUAAGAAGCACCGGCUAACUACGUG
This 466-nucleotide ribosomal RNA is filed under the name uncultured bacterium. RNAcentral describes it as "partial 16S ribosomal RNA". It matches the Rfam family "Bacterial small subunit ribosomal RNA", at positions 28 to 507 of the family's 1533-position model. The record is from RNAcentral.